AAUCGUACCCCAAACCGACACAGGUGGUCAGGUAGAGAAUACCAAGGCGCUUGAGAGAACUCGGGUGAAGGAACUAGGCAAAAUGGUGCCGUAACUUCGGGAGAAGGCACGCUGGUGUGUAGGUGAAGUCCCUGCGGAUGGAGCUGAGACCAGUCGAAGAUACCAGCUGGCUGCAACUGUUUAUUAAAAACACAGCACUGUGCAAACACGAAAGUGGACGUAUACGGUGUGACGCCUGCCCGGUGCCGGAAGGUUAAUUGAUGGGG
Molecule: ribosomal RNA, 266 nt
Filed under: Klebsiella pneumoniae
Lineage: Bacteria; Pseudomonadati; Pseudomonadota; Gammaproteobacteria; Enterobacterales; Enterobacteriaceae
Description: partial 23S ribosomal RNA
Rfam family: Bacterial large subunit ribosomal RNA
Source: RNAcentral